Molecule: ribosomal RNA, 537 nt
Filed under: Strongyloides stercoralis
Lineage: Eukaryota; Metazoa; Nematoda; Chromadorea; Rhabditida; Strongyloididae
Description: SSU rRNA
Rfam family: Eukaryotic small subunit ribosomal RNA
Source: RNAcentral
AAUGUUUUCAUUAAUCAAGAACGAAAGUUAGAGGUUCGAAGGCGAUCAGAUACCGCCCUAGUUCUAACCGUAAACUAUGCCUACUAGAUGUAUGAAUUAUUAGUUAUAAUAAUUUAUGCAUCUUCUCGGAAACGAAAGUCUUUCGGUUCCGGGGGAAGUAUGGUUGCAAAGCUGAAACUUAAAGGAAUUGACGGAAGGGCACCACCAGGAGUGGAGCCUGCGGCUUAAUUUGACUCAACACGGGAAAACUCACCCGGGCCGGACACUAUAAGGAUUGACAGAUUGAUAGCUCUUUCAUGAUUUAGUGGUUGGUGGUGCAUGGCCGUUCUUAGUUCGUGGAUAUGAUUUGUCUGGUUGAUUCCGAUAACGAGCGAGACUUUUAUGUUAUAUUAAAUAUUAUUAUUUUGUUUAUUUUAAUAUAAAUAAUUAAUAUUUUAAUAACAGAUUAAUAGUGUUUAACUAUUUGAGAGAAAGCGAUAACAGGUCUGUGAUGCCCUUAGAUGUCCGGGGCUGCACGCGCGCUACAAUGUAGUGAUC